GGGUUGUGAGGUUAAGCGACUAAGCGUACACGGUGGAUGCCACGCAGUCAGAGGCGAUGAAGGACGUGCUAAUCUGCGAAAAGCGUCGGUAAGGUGAUAUGAACCGUUACAGCCGGCGAUGUCCGAAUGGGGAAACCCAGUGCAAUUCGUUGCACUAUCGUUAACUGAAUACAUAGGUUAACGAGGCGAACCGGGGGAACUGAAACAUCUAAGUACCCCGAGGAAAAGAAAUCAACCGAGAUUCCCCCAGUAGCGGCGAGCGAACGGGGAGCAGCCCAGAGUCUGAAUCAGCUUGUGUGUUAGUGGAACGGUCUGGAAAGUCCGACGGUACAGGGUGAUAGUCCCGUACACCAAAAUGCACAGGCUGUGAACUCGAAGAGUAGGGCGGGACACGUGGUAUCCUGUCUGAAUAUGGGGGGACCAUCCUCCAAGGCUAAAUACUCCUGACUGACCGAUAGUGAACCAGUACCGUGAGGGAAAGGCGAAAAGAACCCCGGCGAGGGAGUGAAAAAGAACCUGAAACCGUGUACGUACAAGCAGUGGGAGCACCUUCGGGUGUGACUGCGUACCUUUGUAUAAUGGGUCAGCGACUUAUAUUCUGUAGCAAGGUUAACCGUAUAGGGGAGCCGCAGGGAAACCGAGUCUUAACUGGGCGUUAAGUUGCAGGGUAUAGACCCGAAACCCGGUGAUCUAGCCAUGGGCAGGUUGAAGGUUGGGUAACACUAACUGGAGGACCGAACCGACUAAUGUUGAAAAAUUAGCGGAUGACUUGUGGCUGGGGGGUGAAAGGCCAAUCAAACCGGGAGAUAGCUGGUUCUCCCCGAAAGCUAUUUAGGUAGCGCCUCGUGAAUUCAUCUUCGGGGGUAGAGCACUGUUUCGGCUAGGGGGGUCAUCCCGACUUACCAACCCGAUGCAAACUACGAAUACCGAAGAAUGUUAUCACGGGAGACACACGGCGGGUGCUAACGUCCGUCGUGAAGAGGGAAACAACCCAGACCGCCAGCUAAGGUCCCAAAGUCAUGGUUAAGUGGGAAACGAUGUGGGAAGGCACAGACAGCCAGGAUGUUGGCUUAGAAGCAGCCAUCAUUUAAAGAAAGCGUAAUAGCUCACUGGUCGAGUCGGCCUGCGCGGAAGAUGUAACGGGGCUAAACCAUGCACCGAAGCUGCGGCAGCGACACUAUGUGUUGUUGGGUAGGGGAGCGUUCUGUAAGCCUGCGAAGGUGACCUGUGAGGGUUGCUGGAGGUAUCAGAAGUGCGAAUGCUGACAUAAGUAACGAUAAAGCGGGUGAAAAGCCCGCUCGCCGGAAGACCAAGGGUUCCUGUCCAACGUUAAUCGGGGCAGGGUGAGUCGACCCUAAGGCGAGGCCGAAAGGCGUAGUCGAUGGGAAACAGGUUAAUAUUCCUGUACUUGGUGUUACUGCGAAGGGGACGGAGAAGGCUAUGUUAGCCGGGCGACGGUUGUCCCGGUUUAAGCAUGUAGGCUGGUUAUCCGCAAAUCCGGAUAAUCAAGGCUGAGGUGUGAUGACGAGGCACUACGGUGCUGAAGUAACAAAUGCCCUGCUUCCGGAAAAGCCUCUAAGCAUCAGGUAACAUCAAAUCGUACCCCAAACCGACACAGGUGGUCAGGUAGAGAAUACCAAGGCGCUUGAGAGAACUCGGGUGAAGGAACUAGGCAAAAUGGUGCCGUAACUUCGGGAGAAGGCACGCUGGUGUGUAGGUGAAGUCCCUGCGGAUGGAGCUGAGACCAGUCGAAGAUACCAGCUGGCUGCAACUGUUUAUUAAAAACACAGCACUGUGCAAACACGAAAGUGGACGUAUACGGUGUGACGCCUGCCCGGUGCCGGAAGGUUAAUUGAUGGGGUUAUCCGUAAGGAGAAGCUCUUGAUCGAAGCCCCGGUAAACGGCGGCCGUAACUAUAACGGUCCUAAGGUAGCGAAAUUCCUUGUCGGGUAAGUUCCGACCUGCACGAAUGGCGUAAUGAUGGCCCAGGCUGUCUCCACCCGAGACUCAGUGAAAUUGAACUCGCUGUGAAGAUGCAGUGUACCCGCGGCAAGACGGAAAGACCCCGUGAACCUUUACUAUAGCUUGACACUGAACAUUGAGCCUUGAUGUGUAGGAUAGGUGGGAGGCUUUGAAGCGUGGACGCCAGUCUGCGUGGAGCCAACCUUGAAAUACCACCCUUUAAUGUUUGAUGUUCUAACGUUGGCCCCUUACCGGGGUUGCGGACAGUGUCUGGUGGGUAGUUUGACUGGGGCGGUCUCCUCCCAAAGCGUAACGGAGGAGCACGAAGGUUAGCUAAUCCCUGGUCGGACAUCAGGAGGUUAGUGCAAUGGCAUAAGCUAGCUUGACUGCGAGCGUGACGGCGCGAGCAGGUGCGAAAGCAGGUCAUAGUGAUCCGGUGGUUCUGAAUGGAAGGGCCAUCGCUCAACGGAUAAAAGGUACUCCGGGGAUAACAGGCUGAUACCGCCCAAGAGUUCAUAUCGACGGCGGUGUUUGGCACCUCGAUGUCGGCUCAUCACAUCCUGGGGCUGAAGUAGGUCCCAAGGGUAUGGCUGUUCGCCAUUUAAAGUGGUACGCGAGCUGGGUUUAGAACGUCGUGAGACAGUUCGGUCCCUAUCUGCCGUGGGCGCUGGAGAAUUGAGGGGGGCUGCUCCUAGUACGAGAGGACCGGAGUGGACGCAUCACUGGUGUUCGGGUUGUCAUGCCAAUGGCACUGCCCGGUAGCUAAAUGCGGAAGAGAUAAGUGCUGAAAGCAUCUAAGCACGAAACUUGCCCCGAGAUGAGUUCUCCCUGAGACUUUAAGUCUCCUGAAGGAACGUUAAAGACGAUGACGUUGAUAGGCCGGGUGUGUAAGCGCAGCGAUGCGUUGAGCUAACCGGUACUAAUGAACCGUGAGGCUUAACCUUACAACGCCGAAG
This 2918-nucleotide ribosomal RNA is filed under the name Klebsiella pneumoniae. RNAcentral's name for it is "23S ribosomal RNA". It matches the Rfam family "Bacterial large subunit ribosomal RNA". Lineage: Bacteria; Pseudomonadati; Pseudomonadota; Gammaproteobacteria; Enterobacterales; Enterobacteriaceae. The record is from RNAcentral.